RNAcentral lists this ribosomal RNA (257 nucleotides) under uncultured bacterium. RNAcentral's name for it is "partial 16S ribosomal RNA". It matches the Rfam family "Bacterial small subunit ribosomal RNA", at positions 524 to 776 of the family's 1533-position model. The record is from RNAcentral.
UACGGAGGGUGCAAGCGUUUGUCCGGAAUCACUGGGCGUAAAGGGCGCGUAGGCGGCUCAUGAAGGCUGUGGUGAAAGUCCGGGGCUCAACCUCGGAUCGGCCGUGGCGACUCGUGGGCUGGAGCACUGUAGAGGCAGGUGGAAUUCCGGGUGUAGCGGUGGAAUGCGUAGAGAUCCGGAAGAACACCGGUGGCGAAGGCGGUGAGCUGGGGCAGUUGCUGACACUGGAGGCGCGACAGCGUGGGGGAGCGAACAGG